AGCGAACGCUGGCGGCAGGCCUAACACAUGCAAGUCGAACGAACUCUUCGGAGUUAGUGGCGGACGGGUGAGUAACACGUGGGAACGUGCAUUUUGGUUCGGAAUAACUCAGGGAAACUUAUACUAAUACCAAAUGUGACCUUCGGGGGAAAGAUUUAUCGACCUUCGAGCGGCCCGCGUCUGAUUAGCUAGUUGGUGAGGUAACGGCUCACCAAGGGGCCGAUCAGUAACUGGUCUGCGUGGAUGCCCAGCCACCCUGGGACUGAGACACGGCCCAGACUUCUACCGGAGGCAGCAGUGGGGAAUCGGGGCAAAUGGGCGAAAGCCUGACGCAGCCACGCCGCGUAAAUGAUGAAGGUCUGAGGAUUGUAAAAUUCUUUCACCGGGGACGAUAAUGACGGUACCCUGAGAAGAAGCCCCGGCUAACUUCGUG
RNAcentral lists this ribosomal RNA (433 nucleotides) under uncultured bacterium. RNAcentral's name for it is "partial 16S ribosomal RNA". It matches the Rfam family "Bacterial small subunit ribosomal RNA", at positions 29 to 507 of the family's 1533-position model. The record is from RNAcentral.